CAUGCAAGUCGAACGGGUUGCUAUUCUGUAGCAAUACAGAGUAGCGCUAGUGGCGAACGGGUGAGUAAUAUAAAGGUAACCUACCUCAGAGUGGAGCAUAAUUCCGCGAAAGCGGAACUAAUUCUCCAUAUAAUCCUGUUGCAUAAGUGACAGGAUGAAAGGCUUCGGUCGCUCUGAGAGGGGCUUUUAGCCUAUCAGCUUGUUGGUGAGGUGACGGCCCACCAAGGCGAUGACGGGUAGGGGGUGUGAGAGCAUGACCCCCCACAUGGGAACUGCGACACGGUCCCAACUCCUACGGGAGGCAGCAGUCUAGAAAUUUGGGCAAUGGGCGAAAGCCUGACCCAGCGACGCCGCGUGAGGGAUGAAGUCCUUCGGGAUGUAAACCUUUGUUGAGGGGGACGAUUAUGACG
RNAcentral lists this ribosomal RNA (410 nucleotides) under uncultured bacterium. Its description in RNAcentral is "bacterial SSU rRNA". It matches the Rfam family "Bacterial small subunit ribosomal RNA", at positions 54 to 456 of the family's 1533-position model. The record is from RNAcentral.